Molecule: ribosomal RNA, 468 nt
Filed under: uncultured bacterium
Lineage: Bacteria
Description: partial 16S ribosomal RNA
Rfam family: Bacterial small subunit ribosomal RNA
Source: RNAcentral
GACGAACGCUGGCGGCGUGCUUAACACAUGCAAGUCGAACGGAAAGGCCCUGCUUUUGUGGGGCGCUCGAGUGGCGAACGGGUGAGUAACACGUGAGUAACCUGCCCUUGACUUUGGGAUAACUUCAGGAAACUGGGGCUAAUACCGGAUAGGAGCUCCUGCUGCAUGGUGGGGGUUGGAAAGUUUCGGCGGUUGGGGAUGGACUCGCGGCUUAUCAGCUUGUUGGUGGGGUAGUGGCUUACCAAGGCUUUGACGGGUAGCCGGCCUGAGAGGGUGACCGGCCACAUUGGGACUGAGAUACGGCACAGACUCCUACGGGAGGCAGCAGUGGGGAAUAUUGCACAAUGGGCGGAAGCCUGAUGCAGCAACGCCGCGUGCGGGAUGACGGCCUUCGGGUUGUAAACCGCUUUCGCCUGUGACGAAGCGUGAGUGACGGUAAUGGGUAAAGAAGCACCGGCUAACUACGUG